UACGUAGGGUGCAAGCGUUGCCCGGAUUUAUUGGGCGUAAAGGGCGCGUAGGCGGCUCUGCACGUCCGUUGUGAAAUCGCCCGGCUCAACUGGGCGGGGUCAGCGGAUACGGCAGAGCUUGAGCAAGCUAGGGGGCAAUGGAAUUCCCGGUGUAGUGGUGGAAUGCGUAGAUAUCGAGAGGAACACCUGCGGCGAAGGCGGGUUGCUGGGCUGACACUGACGCUGAUGUGCGAAAGCUAGGGGAGCGAACGGG
RNAcentral lists this ribosomal RNA (253 nucleotides) under uncultured bacterium. Its description in RNAcentral is "partial 16S ribosomal RNA". It matches the Rfam family "Bacterial small subunit ribosomal RNA", at positions 524 to 776 of the family's 1533-position model. The record is from RNAcentral.